RNAcentral lists this ribosomal RNA (150 nucleotides) under Thamnophis unilabialis. RNAcentral describes it as "partial 16S ribosomal RNA". Lineage: Eukaryota; Metazoa; Chordata; Lepidosauria; Squamata; Natricidae. The record is from RNAcentral.
UCGGUUUCUAUCUAUGAUAAACUUAUACCCAGUACGAAAGGACCGGUAUAAGAAAGCCAAUGCUAAAAGCACGCCUUUACAUAAUCAUCAACCAAAUUAACCCCCCCUUUUUUAAAACCAAGACAAGGUUAAUUAAGGACACAGCCCUUA